UCCAAUUUCCAACUAAAGAGGAUUAUUCAUUUAAAAUUGAUGCUACUUGGUAACACUUCUCCAUGUUUUUACCUCUAAACCCUCUCCAAGACGCAUCCAUUUUGUCAAGAACUUCAGUUGCAUGUUCGCUUCUGAAAAUCAGGUAACCCUCAUUUCGAUCAUUUACAGAUAAUUCUUAUUUAGCCUACUUGUAUGAUAGAGGCUGCUCGUAGCUUGGAAUUUUAAACACUGAUACAGACCAAAGAUAAAGAUGAACUGCAGGGGAAAAAAAAUUCUUGAAUUUUAAUUUGUUUAUUCCCAGGAAAAUCACAUCUGUGCAAGUUUUGCCAGUAUAACCAUGUCUAAUAUCUUAACAUCAAGAGUGUCCUCCAACUUUACAAUUCCAUCAGUGCCAUCAAC
Molecule: long non-coding RNA, 399 nt
Filed under: Populus tremula
Lineage: Eukaryota; Viridiplantae; Streptophyta; Magnoliopsida; Malpighiales; Salicaceae
Description: long non-coding RNA (PTRE_LNC002882)
Source: RNAcentral